CUGAGAGCGACCCGGGGUCAUGUCCUCCCCGCACGUGCUCAGUUCCGUCUUCACAGAGUCAUAGCUUCCUGAGCUGUACUGGGGGGACUGGAGAACACAUGCGGCAUGUUAGGCAAAACCAAAUCUGAUGCCAUGCAAAAGGAGUUAAGUGUUCAGAUGCAAAAGUGCCGUAUUUAGUUUAAGUUGUUACAUUUUUAUGGCGAUGUAAAAGGUUUUUUCAUAGCCUUUAAAGUGAAAAAACUGAAUAUAAUAACCAGAGCAGCCAUAGCCAGAAUGUUUCAGAAGGCACUUAGAGGCCUUUGCAUCUGAGCUCUUCAAUUAUUAGUUGACAUAUUAACAUGUUCAUAAUCUCAUACCUUGUUUCCAUACUCGGUUUUGACUGGGAAUUUUCGGCUCGGGUCAGAUGCGUAGGAUCCGAGCGUCACGCCGGGCAACAGUCUGUCGCUCAGGUUGACGGGCUGCUGUCCCUCCUGUGAGGAAGAAGAGGAUGAAGUGCUGAAGUCCAGCGGCGCUGCUGCACCAUUACCGUUCACCUCUCCGUAAGGGACCACCCCCUCCGAUGCAGGAACUCCUCCGGUCGCCAUGGCAGCACCACCAGGCGGAGUCAACGCAGGCAGACCAUUCGCAGUGCUGCCAUUCUCCGAAGAGGAAUCAUCUGAGAGAGAGAGGGAGAGACACAAGGAAAGCAAACUUGGGACUAGUUGACCGCGAUGACCGGGUUUGAGUUCAGCGAAGAACAAUUUCGGAAACCAGGUAAAACAAAAGUUAAUAAAUAAAUAAAUAACCAACAGGCUGAAAACACGCGGUCACGAUGGCUUUUUUUUUUCUAGAUCGACAGCAAGCUGGCCUGGUCGGCUGAAGUGUAUAUUGCGCCCUCUGGUGGAUUUAUGCGAGAAGAGGAGGAAUUUGUGAUCAUCAAAAAGCAUACACAGCAGCCUCUGGUGGAUUUGCAAUAACAAAAAUCUGCGAUCAGACGUACCUCCGGUUAUGUUUUUAGCUGUCCCCUGAAAUGUAUACAGGGGUAUAUAUCCACAAUAAGCCUGGAUUGAAAAUAUGCAUUGUGUGGGCAAUGAGAUCUUAACAAACAAUAUAUAGUGUGUUAAAACAGCAAAAGAACCGAUGCACUCUGAUGGUGGGGUGCGUUUUUAAUCAUCAUCCUCUUGCCCUGUGUGUCUCUUAACAGAAAACAAGUCUGCCUUGAGUCAAAGGAGGGAUCCAUUAGUGCAUGGUUACAUUUAUACAGAGCACAGGAUGGGAAAAGCCUCAUUACUUCAUAAAACACAAGGAGUGGAUCACAAGCGCAUCCCAUAACAACCACACCAGACAGCGCAGAUAUCGAAAAUUACAAAGCAGAUUUGAGUAAACAAGAGCAGCGCCGGUAGCUACGCAGAAACUGUUUCUGUGGGAGAACACACACUUGAUAACGGCGGGAAAUGAAAGACAUAUCAAAUUAAUAAACCAGUCCCAGACAGUCACAAUUUGUUUGCUCCACCUAAACAGCAUUUUCAAGGGUUGAAAGCUCACUGAAUAGGGAUAAUACCCUCACCAGUCAAUUUAGUAAGUACACUUUGCUAGUACCGGGUUGCUUCUGAACUGCCUUGAUUCUUCUUGAUAGAUGUUGAAAAUUUUUUGCAGCAGACUUGUCGGCUGCACUUAUAUGAUGCAAAUCCCUAGCUCCAACAUCCCCAGGUUGCUCUACUGAAUUGAGAUCUGGUGUCUUUAAAGGUCAUUUGAGGCUAGUGAACUCAUUGUCAUGAAAGCAGUUUGAGAUGACUUGAGAAUUGUGACUCGUCACUUUUCUGGCAGUACAAAGGAUUAGUAAUAAUACUCUGUUGGUAAGCUGUUACAAGCUCAGUUGGUACUAAGGGGCAUAAAGUGUGCCAAGAAAAUGUACACACAGAUAUCACCUAUAUACUAUACAAAAUGUAGGUUGACCAUGUUUAUAUAUAACAAUUUAAAUUGUUAAAAGGUAUUAGUUAGUAGUUAUUUAAAGUUAUUAGUACCUAAUAGAUUGUUUUCAAUCAUGUGGUUCUGGUGAUGCGCGGAAUUCAGAUGGAGAGCAGGAGAUAAAAAAAAACUGAAUGGGGAACAUAGAGGAAAGUCUGUAUUUUUGCAAUUUAUACUAUAUUUUAAAGGAGAUAUAAAUAGAAAACAACCACAUACAGUAUGUUGGGAAUAAUCCUUAUGUCAUGAAGAAGACCAAGUUUUCUAUGAAGCUACAAUAUAUUUGCCAUCGAGACAAUAGAUAGCCCUUAUAGUAAGUACUAUAUUGUUUUGGAACAUACUGUGGUAAUAAAUUAUCCAUUAGGCAUUUUAGUAAUUAAACACCAUCACAAAGCACCACAGUUUACACUAACGUUACAGUAUUUAUUAGAGUUUAUUAGUGUACCAGUAUUCUGUAGCAUUUAUUAACAAAGAGCUGUACUAUAGAAUAUACACUUUACUAUCCACUUGUUAAGUGGUGAAGUGUUUGGGACGUAUGUAUACUGUUUCCGGGUCCAAGCCGCCAUUCAUUUGAGUGGAGAAAUCAUUCGUUUAUGAUCACGUUUUAUUCCCAUCACACAUUAAAGUUAAUUUUAUAUAAAAUCGUAGUGUAUACACAACAAUCUCUGGGCUUGCUGCAUAACAAAUACCAAAAAUUUAACAAUUUAUAAAAAAUGUAUCACUUUUUCGCCAUCGGAUAUUUGGCAUGGACAUAUAUACUGCGAUCGUGAUUUUCGAAAGCAUUAAAUCGUUUUGUAAACGUUUAUUAUUACCAUUUCAUGAGUCUCCCCAUUCAGUUGAAUGGAGCGCUUGGACCCGGAAGCCGAUUCACGUGACGUCACAUUUAACAAGCAGAUAGUGUGUGUUACGAGAACCAGCGAUCGCUCUCCGGAGAUCGCUGGUUUCCACUAUACUUGGACUACACUUCCGCCUUCUCCUGGACUACAUUUGCAUACAUGCACUUCGCCCAGACACCCAUGCUCACCUAUCUCGCUUGAUUACACUCACCACCUGAACCUUGUCAUAGACUGAUAGCAUUCCAUACAUAAGCCACUCAUGAUCCAGUCCAGUUUGCCGAGUCUUGUUUGCUACAUAGUGACAUUACAACGCCUUUCCCGUCUUGUUUUCUCCUUGUUAGACCUUAGCCUUGUAUUUCCUGUUCUCCUGUUUAGCCGCCUGCCUUUUGACCUGUUGCCUGUUAAUAAGACUACGAUUUUGGAUUUGCCUGCACAUACCUGUUAGUACCUGAUUUGUCCACUGCUUGCCUGUCGCUGAAUAAACCUGCUUAUUGGAUCUUACCUCCUGUUGUAUCUGUCACUCUACCC
Non-coding RNA from Danio rerio (zebrafish), 3308 nucleotides. The record is from Ensembl. NCBI's taxonomy places the organism in Eukaryota, Metazoa, Chordata, Actinopteri, Cypriniformes, Danionidae.